CAUAAAAAUCAAUGUAUUAAACUAGACAAUUCUAGGAGGAUACUAGAUACUUCUCAAAUAAAAUUCAUAGGCAUCAAUCUAGAGAAUUCUAUAAACUUAUAUAAUCAUUCAAGUGUCUAGAUCCUUCCAUGGAGUAGUAUAAAUAUGUGAUGUUGUAUCUCAUUUUGUAAUCAAGAAAAUCAAUAAAAUAACAAAAGCCUUCUUCAAUAUAAAAUUUUAUCUCCAUUCCAAUUCUCUACAUUUCCUAAGCUCUUUUCUUCUCAUUCUAAAUAUUACUCUCCUUCUCCAACAGUUUGGCCUUCAAUCGCCUCUGAAAUAGCCCGAAUUCACUCAUAUCCACUAUGUCUGACAUUUAUCUCACAACCGGCGAGUAUUUUGCACUAACAACCAACCAGAACAACAUGUGAGACUGGAAAUAGGGUUUAAUCUGUAAAAUUAUCCAUCUAUCUCCAAUACAGAAACCGAUAGAAUUAGUAAGAAAACAGGCAGUCAAAAAUAACAUCUUAUAAGUACAACUAUGACAAUCAUACUUCGCUGUCGUGAAAUCAGGGCUUAUGGUAGCUUCGUUUGGCCAUAAAUUUUGCAAAGUUGUUUUCAGAAAAUAUUUGGCAAAACUUUUUUGUUUUCCAAAAAGGUCAUGGACUUGGUAGUUGGUACUUCUUCCUCUUCAUAAUUAAAUCGUCGGUGAGGUUUUUCCACAAAUGGGACUCUCACAUAAAUGUUUGUUUAUUUACACACGUUUUUGGUCCACUGUUCCUUUAUUUACACAAGUUUGUACCCCAAACCCUGAAUUUACGACAGCUAAGCCCCAUUUGGCCAUAAAUUUUGCCAAGUUUUUUUCAAAAAUUAUUUGAUAAAACAUUUUUGUUUAUAGAUUUUAUUCAUAUUCUGACAGAUUUUAAAAACAAAAUUUAAAAUUCCAAAUCUAGCUCUACACAUGUUUU
RNAcentral lists this long non-coding RNA (944 nucleotides) under Nicotiana benthamiana. RNAcentral's name for it is "long non-coding RNA (NBEN_LNC027005)". Lineage: Eukaryota; Viridiplantae; Streptophyta; Magnoliopsida; Solanales; Solanaceae. The record is from RNAcentral.